GCCUGGUUAUGCAGAGCCCCGACAGCCCAGCCCACCUCGCUGGCUGUUUGCUCUUGGACAUGCUUCAGUUCAGACCUGAGUGGUCUUCUCCUCCCCCGUCUCCGGCGGCCGGCGCCCUGGAGAGGAAACCAGCAGUAAAUCUUUGGUGUUCCCCUGUACAUACUGUUUCUUGUUGUCUUAUAUGCUUUCGACGGCCGGUCCCCUCCGUCGUUGGUUUAUAUGAUCAUAUAUGUUGCAGAAGCACCUCAAAUCAAUGUCGCUGAAGCUGAGACCCACCCCCAUGUCGCCCUCAAAUCAAUGUCGGUGGGGGCAGGACAGACCAGACGGGAUCCAGCAUUCCAAGCGCCAGCUGCUCGGGUUGCAUAGAUCCAAGGGUGUCGCGCUUGUCCAUGCCGCUGCCGACGGAUCCUGGAUUCUCUUGCACAGGGGGUUAAUGCCAACUACAGUAGUAGUAGUUCUCACAUGCCCUUAGCUGUUGUUUAAUUUCUUAUAUCAUCUGUCUGUCUGAAAUUCUGAAUCCGUCUUGUGCAGGUUUGUCAUUUCGAAGUCAGUCAACUCUCCUAGUCUUUCUAACGUCAAUGAGCUCAACCAUUUCUUAUGACCAAAUGUCAGUCAUCUAGUCAUCAGUCUUUUUCUUUAACAAUUCUCCAAUUGAACCAAUAGUAGAUGUAGCUUGUAGUUUCUAGGAAAGCUCCAGUUGGGCAAUGGGUAGGUAGCAUGUUCUCCUAUAAAAGCUGCUCCAAGGAGCUCUCUGAUCCAUCACCAAUCCUCGCCGUGUAAAUUUCCUCCCAAGACUGGUGGAGAUAUCGCUGCCAAAUGUCUUCUCCGGAUACGCAGGUGCUAAUUACUCCUCCCUUGUUUUUAAGCAAGCAUCCGAUUUUAUUGAUCAAAAGAAUGUCAGAAUCGUUGUCUCCAGUUUCAACUUUAAGUGUGUGCUCUGCCUUGCCACAUAAAUGAACAGCCUGUAAAUUCAUUUGUGACCUCUGUGUAUCUUUACUCUAGAUGACACAUACUGGUUUCUCGUAAUAGGUGAAGUUGAUGACAAUGCAUCUGUGUAAUCUCUGGUAGUUUUGUUGGCUGAAGUUUAUUAUAUAUUUUCACUGUCCUUUUUAUUA
Molecule: long non-coding RNA, 1115 nt
Organism: Hordeum vulgare subsp. vulgare (domesticated barley)
Lineage: Eukaryota; Viridiplantae; Streptophyta; Magnoliopsida; Poales; Poaceae
Exons: 2
Source: RefSeq, a predicted model, not a curated record